CAGACGUAAACAAUGUGCGUUAGGUGUGUCGGUAACCACGCGUUACUGAUGCGCCGAAGAGAAAUCGUGAAACGCACCACCUGGGAAGUACGGUCGCAAGGCUGAAACUUAAAGGGAAUUGGGCGGGGGAGCACCACAACAGGUGGAGCCUGCGGUUUAAUUGGAUUCAACGCCGGACAUCUCACCGGAUAAGACAGCUGAAUGAUUGUCAAUCUGAAGGUUUACAUGACUAGCUGAGAGGUGGUGCAUGGCGUCAGUGACU
Molecule: ribosomal RNA, 262 nt
Filed under: uncultured archaeon
Lineage: Archaea
Description: partial 16S ribosomal RNA
Rfam family: Archaeal small subunit ribosomal RNA
Source: RNAcentral